Molecule: ribosomal RNA, 468 nt
Filed under: uncultured bacterium
Lineage: Bacteria
Description: partial 16S ribosomal RNA
Rfam family: Bacterial small subunit ribosomal RNA
Source: RNAcentral
GACGAACGCUGGCGGCGUGCUUAACACAUGCAAGUCGAACGGACAGGCCCUGCUUUUGUGGGGUGCUCGAGUGGCGAACGGGUGAGUAACACGUGAGUAACCUGCCCUUGACUUUGGGAUAACUUCAGGAAACUGGGGCUCAUCCCGGAUAGGAGCUCCUGCUGCAUGGUGGGGGUUGGACAGUUUCGGCGGUUGGGGAUGGACUCGCGGCUUCGCAGCUUGUUGGUGGGGUAGUGGCUUACCAAGGCUUUGACGGGUAGCCGGCCUGAGAGGGUGACCGGCCACAUUGGGACUGAGAUACGGCCCAGACUCAUACGGGAGGCAGCAGUGGGGAAUAUUGCACAAUGGGCGGAAGGCUGAUGCAGCAACGCCGCGUGCGGGAUGACGGCCUUCGGGUUGUAAACCGCUUUCGCCUGUGACGAAGCGUGAGUGACGGUAAUGGGUAAAGAAGCACCGGCUAACUACGUG